UUAUGGUCUCUCCUCUUUGGCUAAUGCCAGCGACCACCCUGUAAUGAGGGGACAGGUUGCAUCUUGCUUUUGAAAUCUGGGGGAUUAGAAUCAUUUGCGUAACAUGGGCAGCUUGACCUCCCUGUAAGUAGGGUUUGAGUCUCCGAGGCCCUUUGGCUGCUUAGUGAGUGUGACUGCCCUGCAAUCAGGGUGCAAGUCACCUCCCCCUAAAUGUUGGGGGGGGGGCAUUGAGCUCUUUGUUAAACUGAGCAAUGUGACCGCCCUGUAACUAGGGCCCGGGUCUCUGCCCACUUGCUCAUUUGGCUUUACGCCAUGCUCUGCCCCAUUAGUCAGCGUGACCCUCUAGUCUCUUGGCACUAGGCCAAAUGCAGCCACUGCCCCGAAUGAGCACCCUGUAAACAGGGUACAGGUCUCAUCAGCUACUAUUUAUGGUGCCCCCAUGAGACUGUGUCCAGAGUACCGGCCCUUUAAGCAGCGUUUGCAACGUGCCUGGAAUUCUGCAGCCAAGUCUCCUGCUUUCUCCUCCCUUCUUGGAUUCUUGGAGACCUGACAUGCUAUUGGUGGCCUCAUGAAGCAGAAGUGGAGAAGAAGGAAGUGUCAGGAAUGCCACAGACAGAGGAGAAAAGAAGAUGGAGGAAAAGGAAAGGAACUCUGGGCACAGUACCCUCCCUGAAAUCAGCCUCAGGUCAUGUAAUUAGACUGUAUGGGAAUCUCGAGCCUUUUAAUACCUUGAGCAGCGUGACCACCCUGUAAGCUGGGUCCCGGUCUGUCCCCUUUGGACAUUCUGCUCCGUCAUCUGGCUAGUGUGAGUGACUGUCCAGUAAUGAGGGUGCCAGUCACCUCCCCCUAAAUGUGGAGGGGCAUUGAGCUCUUUCUUUAAUUGAGCAUUGUGACCGCCCUGUAACUAGGGUCCGUGUCUCUGCGCACUUGCUCAUUUGGCAUUACGCCGUGCUCUGCCCCACUAGUCAGCGUGACAACCCUGUAAUUAGGGUCCAUGUCACAAGGCUCUCCAGAAUGGGACAUAUCGAGCUCUUUGGUACUUUGACAGCUGGACCUUCCUGUAAUUCAGGUUAUGGUCUCUCCUCUUUGGCUAAUGCCAGCGACCACCCUGUAAUGAGGGGACAGGUUGCAUCUUGCUUUUGAAAUCUGGGGGAUUAGAAUCAUUUGCGUAACAUGGGCAGCUUGACCUCCCUGUAAGUAGGGUUUGAGUCUCCGAGGCCCUUUGGCUGCUUAGUGAGUGUGACUGCCCUGCAAUCAGGGUGCAAGUCACCUCCCCCUAAAUGUGGGGGGGCAUUGAGCUCUUUGUUAAACUGAGCAAUGUGACCGCCCUGUAACUAGGGCCCGGGUCUCUGCCCACUUGCUCAUUUGGCUUUACGCCAUGCUCUGACCCAUUAGUCAGCGUGACCCUCUAGUCUCUUGGCACUAGGCCAAAUGCAGCCACUGCCCCGAAUGAGCACCCUGUAAACAGGGUACAGGUCUCAUCAGCUACUAUUUAUGGUGCCCCCAUGAGACUGUGUCCAGAGUACCGGCCCUUUAAGCAGCAUUUGCAACGUGCCUGGAAUUCUGCAGCCAAGUCUCCUGCUUUCUCCUCCCUUCUUGGACGCUUGGAGACCUGACAUGCUAUUGGUGGCCUCAUGAAGCAGAAGUGGAGAAGAAGGAAGUGUCAGGAAUGCCACAGACAGAGGAGAAAAGAAGAUGGAGGAAAAGGAAAGGAACUCUGGGCACAGUACCCUCCCUGAAAUCAGCCUCAGGUCAUGUAAUUAGACUGUAUGGGAAUCUCGAGCCUUUUAAUACCUUGAGCAGCGUGACCACCCUGUAAGCUGGGUCCCGGUCUGUCCCCUUUGGACAUUCUGCUCCGUCAUCUGGCUAGUGUGAGUGACUGUCCUGUAAUGAGGGUGCCAGUCACCUCCCCCUAAAUGUGGAGGGGCAUUGAGCUCUUUCUUUAAUUGAGCAUUGUGACCGCCCUGUAACUAGGGUCCGGGUUUCUGCCCACUUGCUCAUUUGGCAUUACGCCGUGCUCUGCCCCACUAGUCAGCGUGACAACCCUGUAAUUAGGGUCCAUGUCACAAGGCUCUCCAGAAUGGGACUUAUCGAGCUCUUUGGUACUUUGACAUCUGGACCUUCCUGUAAUUCA
Molecule: long non-coding RNA, 2134 nt
Organism: Mauremys mutica (yellowpond turtle)
Lineage: Eukaryota; Metazoa; Chordata; Testudines; Geoemydidae
Exons: 3
Source: RefSeq, a predicted model, not a curated record